Molecule: long non-coding RNA, 453 nt
Filed under: Sarcophilus harrisii (Tasmanian devil)
Lineage: Eukaryota; Metazoa; Chordata; Mammalia; Dasyuromorphia; Dasyuridae
Description: lncRNA (ENSSHAG00000027392.1)
Source: RNAcentral
GGUAGAGACAAGUUCAUUGCACUACUUUCCCCCUCUUUAACUAGAUCUAGGAUCCCUUUGGCUGUCGCCUUCAGGAGAGCCUGCUGCGAAGCUGAAGGCUGCUCUCGGCGGAGGGACAACUGGGCGAUCCCGGAGGGAGACGUGGACGGAUCAGCGCAACCAUCUGGGAGCCCACGAGCCCAUCGCAGGCCUGGCGGUGCGCCCGUCAGUCGCGGGGAGCACCCAGCCACCUAGAAUGCACUGCACUAGGCACGUCGGGGACUCAAGGAAGAACAUGGUGGUACUCCCAGAUGCAUCCUUCUAAAAAUAUGACGACAAGAUUGCUUCAUAUUCUUGGAUGAGAAACAAUUAUCUUUGGGGUUGUUCUGUUAAGUCAGAUUUCCUUCUUUAUUCCCCUCCUUCCUAACACCUGGAGAAUAGGUAAGUCAUGUGUGAACUGUUUCUUAGGAGGCA